Pezoporus flaviventris is the source of this 5649-nucleotide long non-coding RNA. RefSeq lists it as uncharacterized. Lineage: Eukaryota; Metazoa; Chordata; Aves; Psittaciformes; Psittacidae. The transcript is spliced from 15 exons. The record is from RefSeq and is a predicted model, not a curated record.
UUUUGUUUCAGCAGCUCCCUGGCUCCUGCACAUGCAAACAUUUGAAUUUCCUGUUGGCUCAGAGUGUUUGCAUGGCAAGUGACAUCUGGCUGACAGGAACUUGGAGAAAUGGGAUCCGAAGCGAAUGCUGCAGUUAUCACAGUAUCAUAUUUGUCAAACGGCUUAAGCAUCCAGGACACCUUUCUCAGAAGCCAGUGAGUGGUUUUACACCCUGAAUAGUUUUGAACAGAACUCCAUGAAGUCUCUGUAUCCUAUGCCAAAAUGUAUGACAUGCAUUCAGUGUGGAGAAAGAAGACAAAGAAACAUUCUCAAAUGGGAGAUCAUCUGACAAGCAAAGUAUUUACUGAAUAUAGCCAGGGAUUAAUGCAAGGACUGUACAACUGCCAUGAUGCCCAAUGGAAUCUAUAACAACUUUAUGAUACCUGACGUAUUACUUCAGCAGCAAAUUCAACAAGGCCAAGAUGUCUUCAUUUUCCUUCAGAGCAAGAGCUGUAGGAGCAGUGUGAUGGAAGUAUUGGUCUUCUGUGGCCAGCCAGAGAAAACCCAUCAACAGCUGUGAUGAGCAGAGCAGACAUGGGGAGACAGGAGGCAGCUGAAGCCAAAGAGGACCCACGCCUGGAGCUGUGUGUGUGUGAUUGGAGCAGAGAGAGGCCAGGACCCAAGGAAAUCCCAGCAGCAAGGGGAAAAAACAGAUUGACUCUCAGUGACUCAUUUAGCUCCUGGAUUGGACAGAUCUCUCCCCUGCUGGCAAUUUGGCUGAGCAUCAAUGGACAGAUACCAGGAUGAAUAGCUUAAAAUAAUUAGGGGUUGGGAAUCUGCAAAACUGCUAGCCAUCCAGUUCUUUACUGUGCAAUAUGAGGCACAAAAAAGAAAUUACAUUUAGGUUAUUAAAUAUUAAGUCGGUGGAUUUACCUCCAUUUGGUCCAGAACAGGAAACUGGCUGAAAUUCAACUUUUAUAUCAGUGUGUUGAUGGUCUGUUUAUCACUGAACAAGUGAGUGCUUUUUGGCAGGUCAGGCUCUUUGACACAUGGGGCAAAUGUGUGCUUAAUUUCUCCCAAACAGAAGAAUUAAUGUAAUAAUAAUUAACACAGAUGAGAACAGAAUGAAAUCAAGUACAGUCUAGAGUUCAGUUUAAUGCCAGGCAUCUCACAUUUGGGGGGUUCUGGGACCAGAGUUUUUCUAUGGAAGAGAGAGAGGGUUUUGCCGUGGGUGCUUAUGGGAGCUGGAGUGGGCCUUGAAUGCAGAGGCAGAAUUCCUUGUACUUUCUGUUUAAUGCUCAAAACCAGAAGCAACAGGCUCAUUUAGUAUCAGUAAAGGUCAGUUAAAAUUAUAGAGACAUCCUUUGGAGCAAAUCCUCUGCCUUGUAUUUGCAUAUUUAUGAAUUAGAGAUUAUGACAGGCUAUUUCAUUUAUUAGAGCAGCACCGCUAUAGUUAAUAGUCUGUCAGUAUUUCCAUUAUAAACCCCGUUUUUCAGUGGUUUAAUAUCUCAGCCAUUUAAAAUCACAUCAGGAUGCAAGCUGCUCCUGUGCUGUUGGCCAGGUGCAGUUUUUUGGUACAGAUUAUUUUCAGUAAUGAAAUACUGUUCAUCAUAUAUGCAAAUGAGCCAUAACAUUUCUGCUGGGGGGACAUAGCAAAGUGCCCAAGUUCAUUGUGGCUUUGUUUUCCUUUAGGAAAGAAGGGAAAAGAGGGAUUUAUCAUGUCAACUGGAGCUUCAUGUUUGAAGAACAGCUUCUCAAGCACCUGCUUUCAGAAGAAACACUGGUCCUCAAUGUGAAAUCAGGUUGCUGUGUGCACACAAGGUAUACCCACAAGGAUGGAUCCCCUGUCCCUCAGAAAUUGCUUCUCUGCCAGUCAUGGGAGAAGCACACCAGGUAAGAAAGCAGUGAAAAUAAGAGCCCUUAGAAGUAACAGAAACCCCCAUUGCAAAUUCAAAACCCUGGCCUCUCUUUAAGUGUCUUCCUGAUGCAGAGAAGUGCACUACUGUGCUGACUUUACUGCUGGUGUUUGGGGUAGGAAAAGGGGAUUGCUGAGGUUUUGGGGAGUUGUGAAGCUACCUUGCAUGUGUCCCUGAACCUGAACAGUAAUGUUUACUUCAGCAGUCUCGCAUCCUGCUCCUUCCAAACAGCCUGGAUUUGCUUUCAUAGAGGUAUUGGUUCACUAAGAACCUGUCAGGGGCAAAUGUUUAGAUUGAAAUGCCAAUUUUUAAUUUAUCAGGGCAGCAGAAAGUUACCCUUCAGUGAAAAAGGUGGUCUUGCACUAUAACCUCUUGUGCCAUGAAAAGAGAAACAGUGCAGUAAGAAACUCCUGGGCAGUGAUUUGUUCUUCCUUUAUGGCCUUGAAAAAUCAUUUGCUGCCACAGUGCCUGAAAAGUUAAAAAUCAAAUUCAUGAAGAAGAAAACAAAGCAAUGAAGUUAUGUGCAAAAUGUUUGUUGCUCUUUGCUGUUGCCCAGCAAACACAUGGCUGGAGGUGAGGACACAGUCCAUCUUUUCCAUCGUAAAGGGCUAUACGCACAGCUGGGGAUUCCAGAGAAACUAACAGUAGCAGGUCAGAAACACUAUUGAAGCAUCAUGUAUGAUCCACUUGGUACGCAGCAGCAUAAAACUAUGCCCUGGGCAAGAUUCAGGGCUUGGCCUCUGUGCCACCUUCUGUGGAUUGUGACUAAAUUCAAAUGAACAAGUUUAGAAGUAAGACAUGGUUGCAACAAGAAGUGUGUGAUCUUAAAGACUCCACAUCCAAAUGGUGAGCAAGACUUUGCAUCUGGCCUCUCAUGUCUAUUGUGAGAACCAAGAGCCCAGAUCACGAUCAAGACACUCCAACUGAACUUGUGGAAAAUCUGUUCCAAAUCCAAGGGGCUUAGGCUCAUCAGUACACUUUGAAACACCAGUAUUUGGGAUAUUUUUUUAGGUAAUUGCUCACUUUAAAUUGCAUAUUCCAGAUUCCUUCCAGAAUUGCCAUUGUGAGGAGCAAUCUUCCUUCCUCAGGCAUGUCACAGUGCUUUUUCCGCCAAAUAUUAACUCUAGUCAUGAUAAGCGAUCAUAACUCAGAAGUAGGCAGAAAUUCUAACUUGAAUACAGAAUUACUUGAACAGCUUUAUAAAGCAGGUGGAACCCAGAGUAACUGUGGGGGAGAGAGGCUCUGCCAAAUGUGUGUAAAAUGUGCGAAGUACUCUGUGCUGUCUGCUGGAAGUUAAGUCCGUGCUUAGUAAGCUGUAUGAACAGCAUUGUUCGUAUAUUUGUUAUGUUUUGGAUUCAGUUUGCAGUGACAUAAAAUCUUGCAUCACCGAUGUGAGUGCAUCUUUGAAUAUUAAAACCACUAAUUAUUAUGUAAUUAGUCAACAGGAUGUGUGUAAUUGUGUAAUACCAGCAUUCUUGGGUGUGGUGAAGCAUGCAGGUAGAAAGCCAACACUCAUCUAGACGGAGUAUUAUGAAAUUACACAACAUGCACUCUGGGUGGGUACUCUAAUUGUAUUUGACAUUUAAACAAUGGCUACAUUAGCAAAAUCAAACUUUUUCUUUAAAAAGUAUCUUCCCACAGGCUCAGAUCAUAGUAGUUGGUGGGGAUAAUGUUGCCCAAAUAGAGAGUCAUCUGUCUCCCAAGGGACCCAGGCUUCUUCAUGAACAUACAAAUAGGAGUCAGAAACCAGGCAUAAAGAGCCCUUCAUCCAUUCGUGGCAAGAAGCCACCCCAAAACAGACAUGUGACAAUUGCAGAGUCAUGCAUCAGAAAAACUGAAUGCAGAAAAUUAACAGGAAGAACUUUCUGUCUCGUGAAGAAUCACAUGAGAUUAACCAGAACUGUUACAUUUUUACCACUUAACAGGCAUCAGGACCAUCCUUAAACCUGGUGGAAACAGAGCCGCAAGAGUGAAUCCGAUUCUUCUUUGAACUUACCCAGGAACAUCUAGGUUACAGCUAUCAAAUGUCUUGAGCAUUUUAGUUAACUCUAAAUCUCUGCGAAGACCUUCACUGGGGCCAGCCCUACAGCCAUGGUAAGAUUUGCAGUACAGACAAAAAAGGUGGAUCGUUCUUUUACAUGGCUCACCAGUAUUUUCUCUCUUUUGGUAUGGAUCCAAGGUGAAAAAUCCAGGAGAAGAAUGGAAAGGUGUUUUCAGAUCUACUGUGUUUGCACAAGUUCCAGAAAGCUCAUGGUAAAGCAGUUGCUUUUACCUCUCAGAUUCAAGCCCAUUAAAGGAUUUGACGAAAGCUGUUCAGUGCUGUGGGCAAAGAACAAACGUGAUCCAUUUAGUAACUAAGAAGCAUCACACUCCAAGUGUGAAACUUGCAUGAAGGAGAUGAGAAUCAAGCCCAGAGGGAACAGAGGAGCUGCAAUGCAGGAACCAGUCCUUCCUGUGAAACAUUUAAGUGAGGGAGAAGAGCUUUCAGAGCUAUCUAAGAGUUAACUGGCUACAUUUCAACUGUCACCAUUGUCUUACAUCUACAUAGAGAUGGGAGGAGAGCCAGAGAGGUCUGUGUUGGGAAUGGACUGGAGAUUUAAACUCUGACUCAGAGCAGGAGAAACGAGGAUCCAUUAAUUCUUACAAAAAAAAAAAAAAGCCAUUUCAAGCCAUAGCCCUAACAUAAAUGAAUUUGGCAUGUUCAGGAGUGGACCAUCACUUCCGUGAUGAGAUCAAUGGAUACAAUUUAAGCUUUGACUGCUGCCAUCCUCCUGUGCUUCCAUGAGAGAUACCAUUGACCUGCACCUUUGCAUUGAGUCGCCAAUUUAAAGACAACUACUGCUUGAUAGUGCACACAAAAUGAAGUAUUAGUCUUGGUUAUGGCUUAAGUGUCUAGAGACUGAGACCUUCACUGGCCCCAUGCAGAAGGCCAAGGACUGACAAAAGCACCAGCAAAAGAGAAGUCCCAAGAGGUUAAGGGAAGGGGCAUUGCAGACUAAUAAACUCCGUUACUACAAGGAGAACUUUGUUCAACUUCUGAUGCCAAGAAGGACAGCCUGGACUGGCAGGUACUUAGCACUUCUGAAAUGCAAGCUCAAGGCAGGCUGUGUUGAAUGUCUAAGCUUGGGGAAGUCUUUCUGGAAACCUGAUGGAAAAUACUAGCUCAAAUAUUACUGCUCCUCCAGCAAUCAGUGGAACUAUUAAUUAACCUGAGGGCAGUCCCUGGCCCACUGCAAGCACAGCAGGAUCCAUGCAAGGGGCAGGGGAUGAUGAAGAUUUGGACUUGCAUUCCAGAAAAGAUGUCCACAAAGGGACACACUUCCCCCUGAGGAGCUGUUGGGUCACACUGACACCGCUGCCGCCUACCACAGAUGGUUUUCAGCCUGUAUCACUCAUCACUAUGACACAGCACUUCUCACAUCACGUUCUUAAUGCAGCACUGAGCUCGUUCAGUUGCUCCCUGAAUCUCUCCAUGUAACCUGUGGUGUGUCAGCAAGGCUGUAUCAUAUCAGUCCUUCAGAGCUGUCAGUGCUGCUAGCGGUUAGACCCUACUCGUGACAUGGCCUUCUGUAAGUUUUGUCUGUUCAGAGGACAUCUUGAGCUCUGCUACGCACCCCAUCAGCUCUCUAAGCGGGAGAGUGGAGAUCAAGCACAUCUGUGAGAAGGGUGACUGGUUGGGAUCACAUCUGAGAAGCACCACACUCACUGAUGAGCAGGUUAGAGAAGAAACUGUGCUUUGCUACUCAUGGGACGA